GUGAUGGAGGAGCUUCAGCGCGAUCUGGACAGAAAUAACAUCCAUUACAUUGAUGAGCUGAAGGGAAGAUGGGACGACUUCUGGAAAAAGCUGCUGAAACCCCCAGUAGGAAUGGACAAAGCGGAUUGUUGGCCGCCUCCCGCUGUCAGCGGCGAACACCCGGAUUUCUCCAUCGUCCCAGCGCUGCAACAAAAGGUUUUUAACUUUUCUCCCGGGGCAGCCAUCGAGCCGUCCCGGUCCGGUUUUUGCCUCGAGCCGAUACCUCUGCCGUUGGUAGCUGGCUGUCGGCUGCCUCCCGCCCGUCCUCCGUGCCUCGCCCACUGCCACAAUACGGACCGUCUUCUCCCCUGUGCCGGACGAGUCUUCCCGUCUCCGUGUUUGGCUAACGGCUAGCUCCGGGCUAACGGCUAGCUCCGGGCUAACGGCUAGCUCCGGGCUAACACCUUCGGCGACCGGCAUGAAGCCCAAGUACUCUGUCCCACGGCUGCUAACUCUCGACAACCGCUCCAUUCCAACGUGCAUUGCAGCCAUCAAAGAACUUUGACGGCCGCUGGUCAAAAGUUUUUUUUUUUUUUUUGUUAUUUUUAUAUGAUACGUAACGCUACCGUACCGGCCUGUAGACCGGCCGCUUAGCUGCCGCGGAACGCAGCUGUGUGUCUGUGUGUGUUUCAGACCGGGCCAAACCAAUACUUCCAAUCUUGAGGGGGGGGGAUACGAGCGGCCCCUCCCAACUUGGACUGAUCCUCGUAUUUCCUGACAUCCGAUUGGCUCAAAGGAGUUUACUUGGUUAGGUUUGGGUUUGUGAGAAUGCAACAGAGACAGGCGGUAAAAAUGGCGAAAAGAAGGAAAGAAGAGAAAGAAGAUGGAGAAGACAUUGUAGGAUAUUAGAAACAAAUAUACGACCCGGUUCAUAAAAUUAAUAAAAAUGCAUAUAGUGUACACCAGAAUACAGCCAUGAUUCUGAAACUGUGUAAUCAAUAAAGUAAUGACAAUAGUGUAAAACCACUGUAAUUCUGCAACUGUACUAGAAUAAUACCAAUGCAGUUAUGAUUGUAUUUAAUGUAAUGUAAUCAACUGGAAUGCAUACAUGUAAUACUUGAACAACAACUGAUAUUGACAUUCGAAAUCCGAGUUACAAUGAACUCACCAGAAGACCACUCCCAGAGGUGUGGACACUAACUUUCACACCUUUGAGCAUUGGUAUAAAUACCUGUAGGAAUAUUGUUCUCGGUUCGAUGGUGGAGACACCAGACAGUCACUAUGGGGGGUCAAAGGACUGACCUGGGCCUGUUGGCUGCUGAGACCAGCGGCUCCUCAGCAGAGAUGUUCUUUUCACCACAACACCAUCUCUUUUAUUAAACACAUUUGAUUUAAUCUUUUGAUCUGCGAUGACCUCUGUCCGUCCGGCGUUUCUUCAUUUUUGAACACAACAACAUGGAACUGACUAACACCAGCUGCACCUCCUGUAAAGACUGUGCAAUUUGUGUUUAUCAUAUCCUCUCCAAAUACAACCCCCUCACUGAUGCCUAUCACGUCAUUGGACUGGUUCUUGCUUACGCUCUCUUUCAGUCAAGUGGCCUGUGAGAGGACCUUUUCUACUCCCUAGUUUGUCAAGAACAGACUGAGGAGUGGUCUGAAAUAAAUACA
Molecule: long non-coding RNA, 1647 nt
Organism: Gasterosteus aculeatus aculeatus (three-spined stickleback)
Lineage: Eukaryota; Metazoa; Chordata; Actinopteri; Perciformes; Gasterosteidae
Source: Ensembl